UAUUCACCAAACAGCACCUGUACCUCGAAGAGUGUCUGGUGGAAUAGUGCUGUUUCCACAUUCAGUGCUUUUUAAAGAGUAAUGCCAUGGAGAAACUGCAGAGUGGCUAUAUGUAUAAGUCCCCUAUGUCUGGUCCUCAGGUUAUGAAAUCAUGGAAACGACGAUUCUUUACGCUCCUCAAGAUGAGUGAUAAUGUUCACCACCUG
Alosa alosa (allis shad) is the source of this 206-nucleotide long non-coding RNA. RefSeq lists it as uncharacterized. The transcript has 3 exons. The record is from RefSeq and is a predicted model, not a curated record. Lineage: Eukaryota; Metazoa; Chordata; Actinopteri; Clupeiformes; Clupeidae.